UGGGGAAUAUUGCACAAUGGGCGAAAGCCUGAUGCAGCAACGCCGCGUGAGCGAUGAAGGCCUUCGGGUCGUAAAGCCCUGUCAGGUGGUAAGAAUGUCCCGGGACUGAACAGGUUUCGGGAGUGACGGUACCACCAGAGGAAGCACCGGCUAACUCCGUGCCAGCAGCCGCGGUAAUACGGAGGGUGCAAGCGUUAUUCGGAAUUACUGGGCGUAAAGCGCGUGUAGGCGGUCCUGCAAGUCUGAUGUGAAAGCCCCGGGCUUAACCCGGGAAGUGCAUUGGAAACUGCAGGUCUUGAGUACUGGAGAGGAUGGGGGAAUUCCCGGUGUAGAGGUGAAAUUCGUUGAGAUCGGGAGGAAUAUCAGUGGCGAAGGCGCCCAUCUGGACGGUAACUGACGCUGAGACGCGAAAGCGUGGGGAGCAAACA
RNAcentral lists this ribosomal RNA (428 nucleotides) under uncultured prokaryote. Its description in RNAcentral is "bacterial SSU rRNA". It matches the Rfam family "Bacterial small subunit ribosomal RNA", at positions 355 to 774 of the family's 1533-position model. The record is from RNAcentral.